Molecule: ribosomal RNA, 1543 nt
Filed under: uncultured prokaryote
Description: partial 16S ribosomal RNA
Rfam family: Bacterial small subunit ribosomal RNA
Source: RNAcentral
AGAGUUUGAUCCUGGCUCAGAACGAACGUUGGCGGCGUGGAUUAGGCAUGCAAGUCGAGCGGGAUUAACUUGAUUCAAUCUUUCGGGAGAGAAACUUGUUAUGAGAGCGGCGAACGGGUGAGUAAUAAAUGGGGAAUUUGCCUCUUUGUUCGGGAUAGCCAUCGGAAACGAUGAUUAAUACCGAAUGUGGUCUUCUGUCGCAUGACAGGAUGACUAAAGGUGGGGAUCCUUCGGGACCUGCCGCUUAGAGAGGAACCCGCGUCCCAUCAGCUUGUUGGUGAGGUAAUGGCUCACCAAGGCUUACGGGUAGCUGGUCUGAGAGGAUGGUCAGCCACACUGGGACUGAGACACUGCCCAGACUCCUACGGGAGGCUGCAGUCGAGGAUCAUUCGCAAUGCGCGAAAGCGUGACGAUGCGACGCUGCGUGGAGGAUGACGGCCUUAGGGUUGUAAACUCCUGUCAUUUGGGAACAAUAUCUCUAUGAUUAAUAAUCAUAGAGCUUGAUAGUACCAGAAGAGGAAGCCACGGCUAACUCUGUGCCAGCAGCCGCGGUAAUACAGAGGUGGCGAGCGUUGUUCGGAUUUACUGGGCGUAAAGGGUGCGUAGGUGGAUCUACAAGUCGGAUGUGAAAUUUCACCGCUCAACGGUGAAACUGCAUUCGAAACUGUAGGACUAGAGUGUAGGAGAGGAAAGCGGAAUUCUUAGUGUAGCGGUGAAAUGCGUUGAUAUCAAGAAGAACACCGGUGGCGAAGGCGGCUCUCUGGCCUGGUACUGACGCUGAAACACGAAAGUUGGGGGAGCGAACAGGAUUAGAUACCCUGGUAGUCUCAACCGUAAACUGUGUGCACUUGGUGUAGGAGGAUUUGACCCCUUCUGUGCCGGAGCUAACGCGUUAAGUGCACCGCCUGGGGAGUACGGCCGCAAGGCUAAAACUCAAAGAAAUUGACGGGGGCCCGCACAAGCGGAGGAGCAUGUGGCUUAAUUCGAUGCAACGCGAAGAACCUUACCAGGGCUUGACAUGGUGACCCUUCGGGGGUGGGAGCGAAAGUUCCCUUUGCAAUCACAGGUGCUGCAUGGCUGUCGUCAGUUCGUGCCGUGAGGUGUUGGGUUAAGUCCCGCAACGAACGCAACCCUUGUGUCUAAUUGCCACCGCAGGUGAUGAGCCUGCGAGCACUCUAGACAGACUGCCCGUAUACGCGGGAGGAAGGUGGGGAUGACGUCAAGUCAGUAUGGCCUUUAUGCCCUGGGCUGCACACGUGCUACAAUGGUCGGUACAAUAGGACGCAAUACCGCUAGGUGGAGCCAAUCCCUAGAGCCGGCCUCAGUUCGGAUUGGAGUCUGCAAUUCGACUCCAUGAAGUUGGAUUCGCUAGUAACGGCGUAUCAGCUACGACGCCGUGAAUACGUUCCCGGGCCUUGUACACACCGCCCGUCACAUCAUGAAAGCUUUUUGCACCCGAAGUCGCUGGUCCAACCUGAUUUUAUCGGGAGGAAGGCGCCGAAGGUGUGGGAGGUGAUUGGGAUGAAGUCGUAACAAGGUAACC